ACUUCCUAAGCCGGAACGAAAAGUCUCUUUGUAGCAAUACAUUGACGCUUUUGGCUUUGUGGUUGUGAUGUUGUGUUUGCAAGUUGUCUGGGAAACCAGACUUUGUAGCGUAAGCUACUGUUUUUUUUCACUUCCUGUACAUUUACCCUGUCUGUCCAUAGUGAUUUUUUUUAAUGCACCGCAAUUGCGGUGCUUUUUUUC
Molecule: non-coding RNA, 201 nt
Filed under: Xenorhabdus vietnamensis
Lineage: Bacteria; Pseudomonadati; Pseudomonadota; Gammaproteobacteria; Enterobacterales; Morganellaceae
Description: GcvB
Rfam family: GcvB RNA
About the family: The gcvB gene encodes a small untranslated RNA involved in expression of the dipeptide and oligopeptide transport systems in Escherichia coli. Included several unknown homologues in alignment (Bateman A pers obs).
Source: RNAcentral